CAAAAGGCCCCCAAAUCUGUGUGUAAAUAGCUCGUUUCCAUUGGCCUGGGCGAGUGGUUUGUGAAUC
Molecule: non-coding RNA, 67 nt
Filed under: bovine gut metagenome
Description: L13-Bacteroidia ribosomal protein leader
Rfam family: L13-Bacteroidia ribosomal protein leader
Source: RNAcentral